Orcinus orca (killer whale) is the source of this 3108-nucleotide long non-coding RNA. RefSeq lists it as uncharacterized. The transcript has 2 exons. The record is from RefSeq and is a predicted model, not a curated record. Lineage: Eukaryota; Metazoa; Chordata; Mammalia; Artiodactyla; Delphinidae.
AACGUAGGGAAGAGUCUUGUGGUUGCCAAGGGGGAGGGGGUUCGGGGAGGGAUGGAGUGGGAGUUUGGGAUGAGCAGAUGCAAACUAUUGUAUAGAGAAUGGGUCAACAACAAGGUCCUACUGUAGAGCCCAGGGAGCUAUGUUUAAUAUCCUGGGAUAAACCAUACUGGAAAAGAAUAUGAAAAAGAAUAUAUAUAUUUGUAUAACUGAAUCACUUUGUUGUAUAGCAGAAAUUCACACAUUGUACAUCAACUAUACUUCACUAAAAUUAAAAAAAAAAAAGGCCACAGUCAAGAUUUACUAGAUGAACGAAUGAAUAAACCAACCACCCUAUUGAGAAAUCAACCUAUGAGUCAGUGAGGCCAGGAUUCAAUGGAUCAAUUACUGCGUUAAUGAGAUCAGGGCACACAGGCAGGAAUCCUUGCCUGAUACGUCUGUCUUUAAUCGUCUGAUCUUCCCCACUUCAUCUCUAAGCCCUUCCAGGGCAGUGGAGGGGCCAGGGGAUGGCACAGAUGGAGCUAAAGCCAUGAGAGAAGGAGACAGGCAGGAAAAGAGGCCGGUGCUUCCCUGGAGGCGCGGGGACUGGGAAUGGGGCUCUUAAGGGAGGGCUGGUCAGGGAAGGCUCCCUGGGGGAGGUGAGAUAAUCCCUGGGAGGAAUCCCAAGAGAGAUACUGCCGUUCAGCAGGGGGUGGGAGCUGUGUGGCUCUAGCCUUGGGCUCAGCAGGGUUGGUGCAAGAAUGAGGCCUGGAUUUGCUCUGCACGGUCUCAAGAAAACCAGGGUCAGUGGAGGAAGCCCAGGAGGACCCAUUUCAUUUCAACACAGGGGGACUUGUCCCAGGACAGAGCCAUGCAAAGAUGGAAUGAACUGUCAGAGAAAGGAAUGAGCUCUCUGUCCCUGGAGGGCCAGAGGGAUUAGCUUCCACGCAGGGCGCUCAGAAGGAUGGCGGUCACCCGCUGGAAGUCACCAUCACCACUUACCAUCUGGGAAGGUACAGAGCUCCCUAUCACUGGAGGUGUGCAAGCCGAGGUGGGGAAACCCCUUGUCAGGGACAUUAUAUAGGGAAUUCGAGGGUCAGGUUAGGGGCCGUGCCAAGGGCUGAAUUGUGUUUCCUCCAAAUCCAGAUGCUGCAGCCCUAACCCCCUGUACCACAGAAUGUGACUCUGGAGAUGGACCUUUAAAGAGGUGAUCAAGUUAAAAUGAGGUCACUAGGGUGGGCCUUAAGCCAAUAGGACUAGUGUCCUCAUAAGAAGAGAUUAGGACCCAGACACACACACAGAGAAGGUGAUAUGGAGACACAGGGAGAAGAGAGGCUUCACCUUGAUCUUGGACUUCCAGCCUCCAAAACUGUGAGAACAUGAGUUUCUGUUGUUUAAGCCCUGUCUCUGUGGUCCUGUGUUAUGGCGGCCCUGGCAGAGAGGGUACUAGUGUCUCCACUGUCCGGGUGAGAGAGCCAUGCUGGUGGGGCAGGGGGAGGGCGAAGUGAUACGCCCAGGGUCCCACAGCUACUGGCACGUCCAGAUUUUAGUCCAGGCAGACCUGCCCCAAGUCUUUCUGCUGUACUUGGGAUUCGCCAUGACGGACGCCCUGGCAGGACUUUGUACAAGAUUCUAGAACUGUCUAGAGGAGGAAGGGGACUUGGGGACACCCAGGGAAGCCUUCCUAAAAGAGGUGUCACUUAAGCCAGGCUUGGAGGAAUAAACCCUCAGCAGGAGAGAGGAGGAGGCCAGCAUCCUCCAGGACAGCACAGAACCUCCUGCCAAUCCCAGGGCUCGGCUCCCGGGAGCGUGUGCAUGUGCUAGCACGUGACAGGAUGUCCUGUCACGUUGCACAGAGAGAAGCAUGUGCAGACACCACCCACCCCAGCAGUGGGCUCCCAGGUUCUGACUCCUGGAAAGAGACCUGGUUCUAAUCGCAGCCCUGCCUCUUUCUGGCUGUGUGCUCUCAGAGGAGUUAUACAGCCUGUCUGAAAAAACUGUUGAAAGUAAACGCCCUUCACAGGAUGCAUUCAUUCCUCAGGUGUGUAUUUCUCGUGCACCUGCUAUGCGCCAGGCGCUGCUGUAGGCACUAAGGAAAGAACAGGGGACAGAGUACUGCUCCGGACCUAUCAUUCUAGCCAAGGACCCACAGGGAGGAGGGGAAUGUAGCCACGUGGCCAGGGAGGCCUCUCUGCAGAGGGGCACUCUGCAGAAGUCUGUGGGUGGAGACAAGAAACAGCGAUGAGGGCGCGGUGCUCACCGCCGGCCAGCAUCCGUGCUGUUAUUUCUAGACACGCCCCCUCUUCCUGCCGCUGCAGCUUCCGUCCGGCCACUCCUAGGAUCGACCACCCCAAGCGCCUCUCCAAACCACCUGCUACUUUCUUGACAUCAAAUCCAAGAAACAAGCCCUCCUCUUGGCUUAAACCUGAAGUACUAGUGACCAGAAGGGACCUCAGAAAGGACCGCUCGUCUCUCUCACCUCCAAUGAGCUCCUCGUUUGCCCCGACCUGGGGACCGAGGGCCCCAUCUGGUGUCCCUGCUGUUGAAGAGAUGGCUUCCCAGGGAGCUGGCACCCCAUAUUGGAGAGAGGCUGAGGCAGCCACCCGGCUCUGAUGAGCCCUGCUCAGAUCCCAGGGCUGGUUCCCCUGCCAGGGUGACAGAGCCAUUCCCGCAGCUGGGGGUGGGCAGAGUCCUCCAGGGGAAGCUGGAACCAGGCCAGUCAAGGAGAGGCAGGCAAAGGAGCCCACUAGCUCUCUCUGGGUUCUCACUUUUCUUUCAAAGCCUCCAGCCCAUUGCCCGGGGUGGCGGGGUGGGGGGGCAAGGUGCACUCAGCCUGCUGGAAAAGUCCAGGCUUCCUUCUUGCCAGCUGCCUCCUUCUUGGAGAAGCCUCCGUGACUGGAAAAGCCAGGGUGCUCAGAGCCCGGUGGGAGAUCAAACCUACCAAGGCCUUUCCCUAUUUUUACAUCAAGUUGUUCGGGAACUUUUGGUUGUUGAGUUGUAAUAGUUCUUUAUAUAGUCUGGAUUUUAAUUUCUUAUCAGAUGUAUGAUCUGCAAAUAUUUUCUUCCAUGCGUUGUCUUUUCACUCUGUUGAUGGUAUCCUUUGAUGCAUAAAAGUUUUUAAUCUUGAUAAAG